RNAcentral lists this unclassified non-coding RNA (317 nucleotides) under uncultured fungus. RNAcentral's name for it is "partial contains small subunit ribosomal RNA, internal transcribed spacer 1, and 5.8S ribosomal RNA". The stretch from base 1 to 73 matches the Rfam family "Eukaryotic small subunit ribosomal RNA", at positions 1759 to 1831 of the family's 1831-position model. The record is from RNAcentral. Lineage: Eukaryota; Fungi.
UCAAACUUGGUCAUUUAGAGGAAGUAAAAGUCGUAACAAGGUUUCCGUAGGUGAACCUGCGGAAGGAUCAUUACCGAGUGUUUGGGCGCCCCUUCUCGGGGUGUCCGUCCUCCCAUCCGUGUCUCUUUGUACCCUGUUGCUUCGGCGGGCCCGCCCUCCGUGGCCGCCGGGGGGCCUCCCUGGCCCCCGGGCCCGUGCCCGCCGGAGACCUCAACCAUGAACACUGUCUGAAGGUUGCAGUCUGAGUACCGAUAGUAAAAAUCGUUAAAACUUUCAACAACGGAUCUCUUGGUUCCGGCAUCGAUGAAGAACGCAGC